UGGACCCAUAGGCUAGUGGCAAACCAUAUCCUUGACGUGGAUAGAUCCCAAGUUCAAUCCUUGGUGGGUCCAU
This 73-nucleotide transfer RNA is filed under the name uncultured archaeon. RNAcentral describes it as "tRNA-Val(gac)". It matches the Rfam family "tRNA". From Rfam's summary of the family: Transfer RNA (tRNA) molecules are approximately 80 nucleotides in length. Their secondary structure includes four short double-helical elements and three loops (D, anti-codon, and T loops). The record is from RNAcentral.